Molecule: ribosomal RNA, 603 nt
Filed under: Triticum aestivum (bread wheat)
Lineage: Eukaryota; Viridiplantae; Streptophyta; Magnoliopsida; Poales; Poaceae
Description: partial small subunit ribosomal RNA
Source: RNAcentral
AUGAAGCAUUUAUUUCCAUUCCUGCAGACAACUGCAAGGAGCGAGGGAUUCAAUGUUGUGCUCAAGAAGUACGUGAACCCCAACAACUCAUUGAUUGAAUUCGCAACUCAAUACACUGCAAUCCAGGAGAAAGUAAUGGUGGCUGUGGCGAAAGAGCAAGUGGACACAAUUUACAAAGAGGCAGACAUGUAUUCGUUGAACCCAAUCGAGUUACAGAUGCGAGGGAUAUACACACACAAUCUGUUCUCCAAGUUCCAGGUAGAGAUGAAGCUAAAGACUGCUUACAGAUGCGACACUUUGCAAGAUGGAACCUUCAGGAUGUGGUCCCUCCGAGGCAUACUACCAAAGUAUGGGGAUAGGGACUACCAUGUGCAGGCGAACAAGGAUGAAGGGGUAUACUCGUGCACUUGCUGCAAGUUUGAUCGCGAUGGGCUAUUAUGCGCACACAUACUACGAGUAAUGGAACAGAUUGGAGUCUACGAGAUACCAAGGAGGUAUAUCCUGGAUAGGUGGACAUGGGAUCCAGAAGAGGAUCUUGUUCAGCCUGAUUACCAACAGCCAACCGUUAAGAAGGGUAUGACAGAGAAAGAAAAAAUAUCAUGA